GAUGAACGCUGGCGGCGUGCUUAACACAUGCAAGUCGAACGGAAACGCCCCUUUGGGGGUCCUCGAGUGGGGGACGGGCGGGUAACACGUGAGUAACCUGCUCUUGACUUCGGGAUAACUUCAGGAAACUGGGGGUAAUACUAGCUCGGAAUCCCUGCUGCAUGGAGGGGGUUGGAAAGCUUCGGCGGUUUUGGAUGGACUCGCGGCGUAUCAGCUUGUUGGUGGGGUAGUGGGUUACCAAGGCGUUGACGGGAAGCCGGGCUGAGAGGGGGACCGGCCACACUGGGACUGAGAGACGGCCCAGGCGCCGACGGGAGGAAGCAGGGGGGAAGAUUGCACAAUGGGCGGAAGCCGGAUGCAGCAACGCCGCGUGCGGGAUGACGGCCUUCGGGUUGUAAACCGCUUUCGGCAGGGGCGAGGCUUGUGGUGACGGUACCUGCAGAAGAAGCACCGGCUAACUACGUG
Molecule: ribosomal RNA, 465 nt
Filed under: uncultured bacterium
Lineage: Bacteria
Description: partial 16S ribosomal RNA
Rfam family: Bacterial small subunit ribosomal RNA
Source: RNAcentral